AACGAACGCUGGCGGCAUGCCUAACACAUGCAAGUCGAACGAGAGCUUCGGGUCUAUUGGCGCAUGGGUGCGUAACGCGUGGGAACCUGCCCUUAGGUUCGCAAUAACUCCCCGAAAGGGGUGCUAAUACCGGUUAAUGUCUUCGGACCAAAGAUUUAUCGCCUUUGGAUGGGCCCGCGUUGGAUUAGCUAGUUGGUAGGGUAAAAGCCUACCAAGGCGACGAUCCAUAGCUGGUCUGAGAGGAUGAUCAGCCACACUGGGACUGAGACACGGCCCAGACUCCUACGGGAGGCAGCAGUGGGGAAUAUUGGACAAUGGGCGAAAGCCUGAUCCAGCAAUGCCGCGUGAGUGAUGAAGGCCUUAGGGUUGUAUAGCUCUUUUACCCGGGAUGAUAAUGACAGUACCGGGAGAAUAAGCUCCGGCUAACUCCGUG
This 433-nucleotide ribosomal RNA is filed under the name uncultured bacterium. RNAcentral describes it as "partial 16S ribosomal RNA". It matches the Rfam family "Bacterial small subunit ribosomal RNA", at positions 29 to 507 of the family's 1533-position model. The record is from RNAcentral.